CAAUCUUUCCGUUUCCCGCCGAGGUCGAGUGCACAGAAGACAAUGUGUGCAACGGCAUGAACAUGGCAGAUGCUGUCGAGGACGAAGAGUGAUUCUACUGUGACGGAUGGACGAUCUGUUGCCGGCCAACUGCCUGACAAAAAAAUAUUGGAAUGUGUGCAAGCUAGUGAAAAACACAUCCUGUGUGAAGACAUGGAGGCUUCCGCUGCUAUCGCAUUGUGAAGAAAGUCACGAGAUGCAGAGUAUUGCAGCUUCCACAGUGCUUUUGUGUAAAAUAAGAACAUGAUUUGCCAAUUCGUUCAGCAAAUAAAUGUGUGUUGAUGUAGCAUGCACUUUAUUGUUUUUGUGCAACUCCAAAUAUCAGUAUAAUAGUACCAGCUGCUGAUUCCAGCCUUGUUAUGUUUUAUGUAUAUAAUUUUAUUACAGUGAGAGCAAUGCACAGUUCUCUAUGUAGUGCCUCUGUGAAUCCGAGGUGUCAUUAAACGGACACUAAACGCAAAUAACAAUUUAUGUCAGAGUGAAAGCCUAAUGUAUGACAACGUCUAAAACGGCAAUAUUAUCAACGGCAGUGCCCUACUUACCGAGAAAUUAAGCUAAAUAUAUCACACGAUGAUGUUGCCAGAUGCCCGAAUGGUGCAUGCCACCAGUGCACGCCACCGCGCGCGCAGUAAAGGCGGGCAACGUUGGGAACGGCAACAGUGACGUGAGAAAAACCGCUUUCAGGCGGGUGAUUUGAAGUGCGCUAACGCGAUGCGGACCACUAAAACGGGAUUUUAUUUCAAAAUAAGCACUUCCUUGGCACAAAAGUAGCACUACACGGUUUCUGGACCGCUAUUUCAACAAUCAACUUCGACUUAAUAUUUGCCUUUAGUGUCCCUUUAAG
Rhipicephalus sanguineus (brown dog tick) is the source of this 883-nucleotide long non-coding RNA. RefSeq lists it as uncharacterized. The transcript has 2 exons. NCBI's taxonomy places the organism in Eukaryota, Metazoa, Arthropoda, Arachnida, Ixodida, Ixodidae. The record is from RefSeq and is a predicted model, not a curated record.